AGAGUUUGAUCCUGGCUCAGGACGAACGCUGGCGGCGUGCUAAUACAUGCAAGUAGAACGCUGAAGAAAGGAGCUUGCUUCUUUUGGAUGAGUUGCGAACGGGUGAGUAACGCGUAGGUAACCUGCCUUGUAGCGGGGGAUAACUAUUGGAAACGAUAGCUAAUACCGCAUAACAGCUUUUGACACAUGUUAGAAGCUUGAAAGAUGCAAUUGCAUCACUACGAGAUGGACCUGCGUUGUAUUAGCUAGUAGGUAGGGUAACGGCCUACCUAGGCGACGAUACAUAGCCGACCUGAGAGGGUGAUCGGCCACACUGGGACUGAGACACGGCCCAGACUCCUACGGGAGGCAGCAGUAGGGAAUCUUCGGCAAUGGGGGCAACCCUGACCGAGCAACGCCGCGUGAGUGAAGAAGGUUUUCGGAUCGUAAAGCUCUGUUGUAAGAGAAGAACGUGUGUGAGAGUGGAAAGUUCACACAGUGACGGUAACUUACCAGAAAGGGACGGCUAACUACGUGCCAGCAGCCGCGGUAAUACGUAGGUCCCGAGCGUUGUCCGGAUUUAUUGGGCGUAAAGCGAGCGCAGGCGGUUUAAUAAGUCUGAAGUUAAAGGCAGUGGCUUAACCAUUGUUCGCUUUGGAAACUGUUAAACUUGAGUGCAGAAGGGGAGAGUGGAAUUCCAUGUGUAGCGGUGAAAUGCGUAGAUAUAUGGAGGAACACCGGUGGCGAAAGCGGCUCUCUGGUCUGUAACUGACGCUGAGGCUCGAAAGCGUGGGGAGCAAACAGGAUUAGAUACCCUGGUAGUCCACGCCGUAAACGAUGAGUGCUAGGUGUUAGGCCCUUUCCGGGGCUUAGUGCCGCAGCUAACGCAUUAAGCACUCCGCCUGGGGAGUACGACCGCAAGGUUGAAACUCAAAUGAAUUGACGG
Molecule: ribosomal RNA, 925 nt
Filed under: uncultured bacterium
Lineage: Bacteria
Description: bacterial SSU rRNA
Rfam family: Bacterial small subunit ribosomal RNA
Source: RNAcentral